GCAAAACGUGGCUAGGGUUCCGGUCGGUCAUCCCGAUGCUGGUCCGAGAGCCGCAGCCGUGCGGGAGACAUCCGCACGGUACACGGCGGGAUAAAAGCCCGGGAGAG
RNAcentral lists this small RNA (107 nucleotides) under Acidiphilium rubrum. RNAcentral's name for it is "Guanidine-I sequence". It matches the Rfam family "Guanidine-I riboswitch aptamer". From Rfam's summary of the family: This family represents a conserved RNA structure found upstream of the ykkC and yxkD genes in Bacillus subtilis and related genes in other bacteria. The function of this family is unclear although it has been suggested that it may function to switch on efflux pumps and detoxification systems in response to harmful environmental molecules. Nelson showed that this riboswitch senses and responds to guanidine and it was renamed Guanidine-I riboswitch. The record is from Rfam by way of RNAcentral. Lineage: Bacteria; Pseudomonadati; Pseudomonadota; Alphaproteobacteria; Acetobacterales; Acidocellaceae.